This 496-nucleotide long non-coding RNA is filed under the name Setaria viridis. RNAcentral's name for it is "long non-coding RNA (SVIR_LNC002089)". Lineage: Eukaryota; Viridiplantae; Streptophyta; Magnoliopsida; Poales; Poaceae. The record is from RNAcentral.
AAAAUAUAAGUAAUUUUUGACAUCGGUAUAAUUUACAAGGUGAUGAAACUUUGACAAAUAAUUUUCUAUUUUAUUUUGAAAAUUAUAUAGUUUUUGCAUGCUUGAUGGUCUACAUUUUUUUUAAAAACAAACUUAACUGGUAAGAAUCCUAAAACAACACAUAUUUUGAACAAGAUGGAGUAAUUGUACUUAAACCUCCAUCUGAUCCAUAUACUUUUUAACCUUUUUUUUCACCUCCCAAACUACGUUACGGCCGACGUGCCGACCUGCACACUCUCGUGACAUCGCAUUUCUUGAUGACUUCAUGAUGGAAUCAAAUCAAAUUUAAUUGUAAUCGUGGCACUUGGCUUGUUUAGUUGACUUUGCGGUGUGCUUUCUCUCUCGUUAUACGCUGUCGAUCGUCCUAACCCGCUCCCCGAUUGCUAAAUGCCAAAAUCAUGUGACACGAGUCGCUAUCUCCUCCGUAUGUCCAUCGCUAAUCUUGUUAAUGAUUCCC